GGAAAAGCCAGAAAAGGCGCAAGGGGGAUGCCUUGGCAUCAGGAGCCGAAGAAGGACGCGACAAGCUGCGAAAAGCCGCGCGGAGGCGCACAUAGCCGUUGAGGCGCGGGUGUCCGAAUGGGGCAACCCGGCGGCAGCAGUGCCGCCACGCGCGCGCGAACAAAAUAGCGCGCGCGGGGGAACGCGGGGAACUGAACCAUCUAAGUACCCGCAGGAAAAGAAAGAAACAUCGAUUCCCGGAGUAGCGGCGAGCGAAAUGGGAAAAGCCAGGCAGCGCAAAGGCCGCGAAGCGAAGCCGAACGGCAUGGGAAGGCCGACCGAAGGGGGCAAGAGUCCCGUAGGCGAAACGCCCAGAGGCCCGGCUGCCAAGAAGUACCGCAGGGCACGCGAAAUCCGGCGGGAAGACGGGAGGACCACCUCCCAAGGCUAAAUACUACCUGAUGACCGAUAGCGCACAGUACCGUGAGGGAAAGGUGAAAAGAACCCCGGGAGGGGAGUGAAACAGAACCUGAAACCUUGCGCCCACAAGCAGGCGGAGCGAAAGUGACGCCGUGCUUUUUGUAGAACGGGCCAGCGAGUUGCUGGCGUGCAGCAAGGCUAAGCGGCAAAGCCGCGGAGCCGCAGGGAAACCGAGCCUGAAAAGGGCGAAUUAAGUUGCAUGCCGCAGACCCGAAACCGUGUGAUCUAGCCACGCCCAGAAUGAAGCGAAGGUAAAGCUUCGUGGAGGUUCGAACCGGUGUCUGUGAAAAAGGCUCGGAUGAGGCAUGGCUAGGGGAGAAAUUCCAAUCGAACACGGAGAUAGCUGGUUCUCCCCGAAAUAGCUUUAGGGCUAGCGUGCCCCCAUUGUGGCGGGCGGAGGUAGAGCUCUGAAUUGGCAAGGGGGCGGAAAGCCUGCCGAGCCAUAUCAAACUGCGAAUGCCGCCAGGCCAGGGGGCGCAGCCAGACUGCGGGAGAUAAGUUCCGCAGUCGAGAGGGAAAAAGCCCAGACCAUCGUUUAAGGCCCCAAAGUGCAGGCUAAGUGGAAAAGGAUGUGCAGCCGCCCAGACAGCCAGGAUGUUGGCUUAGAGGCAGCCACCCAUUCAAAGAGUGCGUAACAGCUCACUGGUCGAGUGGCUGCGCGCCGAAAAUUACACGGGGCUAAAGCCUGCCGCCGAAGGCAUGGGGCAGGGGCGAAGGCCCCUGCCGGUAGGGGAGCUUCGCGGGCGGGGCGAAGCGCAGCGCGCAGGCGCGCGUGGACUGCCCGCGAGAGAGAAUGCUGGCAUGAGUAGCGAAAGGCAGGUGGGAAUCCUGCCCAUCGAAAGCCCAAGGUUUCCCGGGGAAGGCUCGUCCGCCCGGGGUAAGUCGGGGCCUAAGGCGAGGCCGAAAGGCGCAGCCGAUGGACAGCUGGCAGAGAUUCCAGCACCCGGCGCGGCUGACUGAGAGAUGCGGAGACACGGAAGGAUAGCCCUUCCCGGCGGACGGAAGUGCCGGGACAAGCGCUAUAGGGCCGGGGGAGCAAAUGGCCCCCAAGAAGGCCUAAGGCGCGAUGUGGAAACGAGCGAGUUGAAGAGGGCGAGUCCACGCCGGCAAGAAAAUCCGCUAUCGAGGCCGCGUCGGCCCGUACCGCAAACCGACACAGGCAGGCGAGGAGAGGAUCCUAAGAUGAGCGAGAGAAAUGUUGUCAAGGAACUCGGCAAAAUGACCCCGUAACUUCGGGAGAAGGGGACCCCAGGCGACUGGGGCGCAGCGAAAAGGUCCAGGCGACUGUUUACCAAAAACACAGGUCUCUGCAAAAGCGAAAGCUGAAGUAUAGGGGCUGACGCCUGCCCGGUGCCGGAAGGUUAAGGGGAAGCGUUAGCGCAAGCGAGGCGCCGAACUGAAGCCCCGGUAAACGGCGGCCGUAACUAUGACGGUCCUAAGGUAGCGAAAUUCCUCGUCAGGUAAGUUCUGACCCGCACGAAAGGCGCAACGAUCUGGACGCUGUCUCGACAACAUGCUCGGUGAAAUUGUAGUGCCGGUGAAGAUGCCGGCUACCCGCGACUGGACGGAAAGACCCCGUAGAGCUUUACUGCACCCUGGCGCUGGACUUUGGGAUUGCAUGCACAGGAUAGGCGGGAGGCAGGGAUGCGCGCGCCCCGGCGCGCGCGGAGCCAACCUUGGGAUACCGCCCUUGCAAUGUCGAAGUUCUAACUGGCAGCCGCGAUACCGGCUGCAGGACCACGCCAGGCGGGCAGUUUGACUGGGGCGGUCGCCUCCGAAACAGCAACGGAGGCGCUCAAAGGUCCCCUCGGGAUGGUUGGAAACCAUCUUACAGAGCGCAAAGGCAUAAGGGGGCCUGACUGCGAGACAGACAAGUCGGGCAGGUACGAAAGUAGGACUUAGUGAUCCGGUGGCCCCGAGUGGGAGGGCCAUCGCUUAACGGAUAAAAGUUACCUCGGGGAUAACAGGCUUAUCUCCCCCAAGAGUCCACAUCGACGGGGAGGUUUGGCACCUCGAUGUCGGCUCGUCGCAUCCUGGAGCUGAAGCAGGUUCCAAGGGUUGGGCUGUUCGCCCAUUAAAGCGGCACGCGAGCUGGGUUCAGAACGUCGUGAGACAGUUCGGUCCCUAUCCGUCGCGGGCGCGGGACAUUUGAAAGGGUCUGCCCUUAGUACGAGAGGAGCGGGGCGGACAGGCCUCUGGUGCACCGGUUGCCGUGCCAACGGCACAGCCGGGUAGCUACGCCUGGAAGGGAUAAGCGCUGAAAGCAUCUAAGCGCGAAGCCCGCCUUGAGAUGAGAUGUCCAACUGUAAAAGGAUAAGGCCCCAGACAGACGAUCUGGUUGAUAGGCCGGGGGUGCAAGCGCGGCGACGCGCUAAGCCGACCGGUACUAAUCGGCCGAAGGCUUGCCCUG
Molecule: ribosomal RNA, 2869 nt
Filed under: Eubacteriaceae bacterium
Lineage: Bacteria; Bacillati; Bacillota; Clostridia; Eubacteriales; Eubacteriaceae
Description: 23S ribosomal RNA
Rfam family: Bacterial large subunit ribosomal RNA
Source: RNAcentral